GGCUUUACGGCGAGGACAUUGCGUGUCUUAGCUGGGAGCAGAGGAAGACUCGCCUAGAGGAGUGUUUAAUCCAGAGUUGGCAGAACAGAUGGGACGAUGACAGCGAACCAGGACGGGUGACGCAUAGGUUUAUCCCAUACGUUACUCUUGCCUAUCGGGAUCCAAGUUUUGGAUUCUCGAUGAGGACGUCUUUCCUGCUUACAGGGCACGGGUCGUUCAAUGCAUUUUUGCAUGGGAGAGCCCUCAGCGAUACCACUGCUUGCGCAUGUGGAGAUCCAUAUGAGGACUGGAUGCAUAUCUUGUGCGCUUGCCCCCUAUAUGCAGAUCUGCGGGACCUAGAUGGACUUGGAGUGCAGCGCCUUGGCGAAAACUGGAUCUUCGAGGGAAUCCUGGAUGAUCAAGAGAAGACUCAACGGCUGGCAAUGUUUGCGGAAGAAGUGUUCCUGAGGAGGAGGGGCGUUUAGCUCAGCAUCUCUGCCGUGUGGUUAGCGGGCGAGAAUACUACCACAGUCCGCUGUUGCUUGUCGUAAGAGACGACUAAUACAGCGAUAGGAUUCCUCUAACCCUGCUUGUCGGAGCAAAAGGGGGAGGCCCACCGAGCCUCUUUUCGGUACCACGGGUUGAGCAGCUAUCCAAGACUGCUCAUUGAGGUAGGCCCCCUGGUGGGAGUAUCGUGGUGGCUGUGGUUGGUACCCAUAUCGCGGGUAGAGCCUUCAUGCUCGACGUUUGAGUUACGGUGCUAGUUGCGCAAAACUCGGGUGCUGUGACCCAGAGAUCAGUAGAGAUUUUAGGUAGAUCUCGCUCCUCAGCAAGGGGGAGUGCUUGCCCGGCAAGCAAGUACUCGAAUUGCUACCGGGGUGGUCGCUAUGUACAUAGCUAUAGCUUCUAGUCCGGGACGCUUGUCUGGCGUAUCCAGACACAUGCACCAUAUGCUCACUUGUGGGUGUAUAGGGUGCCGUGGUUGUAAUCCCUUCAGUGUGGAACACGCCACGUAAAAUAAGUUCGGAGGGAUCCGAAAAGCAUACAUUGUCCCUAUCUACUCUGUCGUGUGGUUAGCGGGCGAGAAUACUACCACAGUCCGCUGUUGCUUGUCGUAAGAGACGACUAAUACAGCGAUAGGAUUCCUCUAACCCUGCUUGUCGGAGCAAAAGGGGGAGGCCCACCGAGCCUCUUUUCGGUACCACGGGUUGAGCAGCUAUCCAAGACUGCUCAUUGAGGUAGGCCCCCUGGUGGGAGUAUCGUGGUGGCUGUGGUUGGUACCCAUAUCGCGGGUAGAGCCUUCAUGCUCGACGUUUGAGUUACGGUGCUAGUUGCGCAAAACUCGGGUGCUGUGACCCAGAGAUCAGUAGAGAUUUUAGGUAGAUCUCGCUCCUCAGCAAGGGGGAGUGCUUGCCCGGCAAGCAAGUACUCGAAUUGCUACCGGGGUGGUCGCUAUGUACAUAGCUAUAGCUUCUAGUCCGGGACGCUUGUCUGGCGUAUCCAGACACAUGCACCAUAUGCUCACUUGUGGGUGUAUAGGGUGCCGUGGUUGUAAUCCCUUCAGUGUGGAACACGCCACGUAAAAUAAGUUCGGAGGGAUCCGAAAAGCAUACAUUGUCCCUAUCUACUAUCUAGCGAAACCACAGCCAAGGGAACGGGCUUGGAAUAAUUAGCGGGGAAAGAAGACCCUUUUGAGCUUGACUCUAAUCUGGCAGUGUAAGGAGACAUAAGAGGUGUAGAAUAAGUGGGAGAUAUUAGACCUCGGUUUGGUAUCGUCAAUGAAAUACCACUACUCUUAUUGUUUCCUUACUUACUUGAUUAAAUGGAACGUGUAUCAUUUCCUAGCCAUUAUACGGAUAUAUUUAUUAUAUCUUAUGGUAUUGGGUUUUGAUGCAAGCUUCUUGAUCAAAGUAUCACGAGUUUGUUAUAUAAUCGCAAACAAAUUCUUUAAUAAAACGAUGCAUUUAUGUAUUUUUGAUUUGAAAAUUUGGUAUAACUCCAAUUACUCAGGUAUGAUCCAAUUCAAGGACAUUGCCAGGUAGGGAGUUUGACUGGGGCGGUACAUCUCUCAAAUAAUAACGGAGGUGUCCCAAGGCCAGCUCAGUGCGGACAGAAACCACACAUAGAGCAAAAGGGCAAAUGCUGACUUGAUCUCGGUGUUCAGUACACACAGGGACAGCAAAAGCUCGGCCUAUCGAUCCUUUUGGUUUAAAGAGUUUUUAACAAGAGGUGUCAGAAAAGUUACCAUAGGGAUAACUGGCUUGUGGCGGCCAAGCGUUCAUAGCGACGUCGCUUUUUGAUCCUUCGAUGUCGGCUCUUCCUAUCAUUGUGAAGCAAAAUUCACCAAGCGUUGGAUUGUUCACCCAUGCAAGGGAACGUGAGCUGGGUUUAGACCGUCGUGAGACAGGUUAGUUUUACCCUACUAAUGACAAAACGUUGUUGCGACAGCAUUCCUGCGUAGUACGAGAGGAACCGCAGGUACGGACCAAUGGCACAAUACUUGUUCGAGCGAACAGUGGUAUGACGCUACGUCCGUUGGAUUAUGCCUGAACGCCUCUAAGGUCGUAUCCGUGCUGGACUGCAAUGAUAAAUAAGGGGCAAUUUGCAUUGUAUGGCUUCUAAACCAUUUAAAGUUUAUAAUUUACUUUAUAAACGACAAUGGAUGUGAUGCCAAUGUAAUUUGUAACAUAGUAAAUUGGGAGGAUCUUCGAUCACCUGAUGCCGCGCUAGUUACAUAUAAAAGCAUUAUUU
RNAcentral lists this ribosomal RNA (2730 nucleotides) under Drosophila melanogaster (fruit fly). RNAcentral's name for it is "eukaryotic LSU rRNA". The stretch from base 1560 to 2730 matches the Rfam family "Eukaryotic large subunit ribosomal RNA", at positions 1891 to 3320 of the family's 3401-position model. Lineage: Eukaryota; Metazoa; Arthropoda; Insecta; Diptera; Drosophilidae. The record is from RNAcentral.